RNAcentral lists this small RNA (584 nucleotides) under Pan troglodytes (chimpanzee). Its description in RNAcentral is "retained intron". Lineage: Eukaryota; Metazoa; Chordata; Mammalia; Primates; Hominidae. The record is from RNAcentral.
AAUGAUCCACUUCCUCCUCAGGGAAUAAAGGCUCAGGGACCGGCAGUUCUACUCUGGAGCCCACCAGCCUCUCAGAGCCUCCGGUGACUGGCCUGUGUCUCCCCCUGGAUGGACAUGUGGACGGCGCUGCUCAUCCUGCAAGCCUUGUUGCUACCCUCCCUGGCUGAUGGUGCCACCCCUGCCCUGCGCUUCGUAGCCGUGGGUGACUGGGGAGGGGUCCCCAAUGCCCCAUUCCACACGGCCCGGGAAAUGGCCAAUGCCAAGGAGAUCGCUCGGACUGUGCAGAUCCUGGGUGCAGACUUCAUCCUGUCUCUAGGGGACAAUUUUUACUUCACUGGUGUGCAAGAUGUCAAUGACAAGAGGUUCCAGGUCUGUGCCCAACAGAGUGGGGCAGGAGGUGGGGGCAGGCAGUGGGGAGAAGCCGCCUUACCUAGUGACCUUCCUUUGGAGAGGGCAGAGGGAAGGUGAUGGGGCACCUUUGGGCGCCGGGAGCAUUCAGUGUCUCCCUUAUCCUGACUUGGUGGGAGGAUCAGCGUAGCCACUGACCCCAGGGAAGAGGCCUGCCCUAUCUGUUUGCUACAGGA